This 253-nucleotide ribosomal RNA is filed under the name uncultured bacterium. RNAcentral describes it as "partial 16S ribosomal RNA". It matches the Rfam family "Bacterial small subunit ribosomal RNA", at positions 524 to 776 of the family's 1533-position model. RNAcentral also lists the same sequence under 1 other name. The record is from RNAcentral.
UACAGAGGGUGCGAGCGUUAAUCGGAAUUACUGGGCGUAAAGCGUGCGUAGAUGGUUAUGUAAGUCGGAUGUGAAAGCCCCGGGCUCAACCUGGGAAUUGCAUUCGAGACUGCAUAGCUAGGAUGCGGAAGAGGGAAGCGGAAUUUCCGGUGUAGCGGUGAAAUGCGUAGAUAUCGGAAGGAACACCAGUGGCGAAAGCGGCUUCCUGGUCCAGCAUCGACGUUCAGGCACGAAAGCGUGGGGAGCAAACAGG